UACGUAGGGGGCAAGCGUUGUCCGGAAUCAUUGGGCGUAAAGCGUGCGUAGGUGGUGCGUUAAGUCUGUCGUGAAAGCCCCGGGCUCAACCUGGGAAUGGCGAUGGAUACUGGCGCGCUAGAGUGCGGUAGAGGAGAGUGGAAUUCCCGGUGUAGCAGUGAAAUGCGUAGAGAUCGGGAGGAACAUCAGUUGCGAAGGCGGCUCUCUGGACCAGCACUGACACUGAGGCACGAAAGCGUGGGGAGCAAACAGG
Molecule: ribosomal RNA, 253 nt
Filed under: uncultured bacterium
Lineage: Bacteria
Description: partial 16S ribosomal RNA
Rfam family: Bacterial small subunit ribosomal RNA
Source: RNAcentral